AUUGAACGCUGGCGGCAUGCUUUACACAUGCAAGUCGAACGGCAGCGCGGGCUUCGGCCUGGCGGCGAGUGGCGAACGGGUGAGUAAUGCAUCGGAACGUGCCCAGUCGUGGGGGAUAGCCCGGCGACAGCCGGAUUAAUACCGCAUACGACCUGAGGGUGAAAGCGGGGGACCGAAAGGCCUCGCGCUAUUGGAUCGGCCGAUGUCGGAUUAGCUAGUUGGUGGGGUAAAGGCUUACCAAGGCGACGAUCCGUAGCUGGUCUGAGAGGACGACCAGCCACACUGGGACUGAGACACGGCCCAGACUCCUACGGGAGGCAGCAGUGGGGAAUUUUGGACAAUGGGGGCAAGCCUGAUCCAGCCAUGCCGCGUGCGGGAAGAAGGCCUUCGGGUUGUAAAACGCUUUUGUUCGGGAAGAAAUCCUGUGGGCUAAUACCCCGGGGGGAUGACGGUACCGGAAGAAUAAGCACCGGCUAACUACGUG
RNAcentral lists this ribosomal RNA (484 nucleotides) under uncultured bacterium. RNAcentral describes it as "partial 16S ribosomal RNA". It matches the Rfam family "Bacterial small subunit ribosomal RNA", at positions 28 to 507 of the family's 1533-position model. The record is from RNAcentral.